UGAGGAACAUGACCUUCGGCGGGGGAUAGCCGGCCCAACGGCCGGGUAAUACCGCGUACGACCACAUGGGGACAUCCCUGAGUGGUGAAAGCAGCAAUGCGCCGAUGGAGUGCCUCGCGGCCUAUCAGCUAGUUGGUGAGAUAACGGCUCACCAAGGCGACGACGGGUANCUGGUCUGAGAGGAUGGCCAGCCACAUUGGGACUGCGACACGGCCCAGACUCCCGUACGGGG
Molecule: ribosomal RNA, 232 nt
Filed under: uncultured bacterium
Lineage: Bacteria
Description: partial 16S ribosomal RNA
Rfam family: Bacterial small subunit ribosomal RNA
Source: RNAcentral